AUUCUGAUGAAGAUCAUCAAAGUCUUAAGCUAUAACUCUCUUAGGAACCAUAAGGAGAGAGUGGAGAAACAAAAAAGCGCUCCAGCUGACAUGGAACAAGACAGCAGAUUCAGCUAGAAUGACAUUUUAUUGUGUGAUGAGAGAUGGAAAUAAAAUUGUGUAUGAUGUGAUUAUAGAACAGAGGCCAUAAGUCUCUGAGUUUGUAAACCUCACGGUGAAUGUUUGUUAUCAUUGUUAGUUCCAUUUGUUAGUUUUUAAAUUCAUGUUUUAUGAUCGUUCGUCCAUUAAUUAGUAAUUUCCAAGUUUAUAUAUUAUAUAUUUAUAUUUAUAUAUAUUGAACAUUAGGAUGCUAUUGUUCAAGAGGGACUGUUGGAUUUGAAAUGUUGAAAAUUGAGAUAUUAAAGACAUGAUAGAUCAGACACAUAGUAUAUAAAGGAGUGAGAUCUGUAAGACAGAGUGGCUGUGGAAUGUGCUGGGUGGAUGGGAGGAGAUCAAAGGAUUGCUAUAGGGGAAGCAGAUGAACAUCUUUGGAUUAGGCGAAGGAGGGGUUGAGGUCAGGUCAGAUCCCAUGAAGGGAGUAAUAAGGGUUUACUACCCACUCCCUGUUUAAAACCGUAAGAUGUUAGGAUUGGAGAGAAGGAGGAGUGUCUUAAGUGGGAUAUUUAUACCUGUGAUGGUGAGAAAUGUCUGGUUGUCUGAAUUACAGCUACAACCCUUUGGGAAGAAUUAAACUUGGUUAAGCUUCUCUAGUGUCCGUGAGUUAUUUCCUCU
Molecule: long non-coding RNA, 771 nt
Organism: Oncorhynchus tshawytscha (Chinook salmon)
Lineage: Eukaryota; Metazoa; Chordata; Actinopteri; Salmoniformes; Salmonidae
Source: Ensembl